GACGAGCCUAACAAACUUUAUUCGGAAUUACUGGGCUUAAAGGGUGCGUAGGCGGCGCGGAAAGUUGGGUGUGAAAUCCCUCGGCUCAACCGAGGAAUUGCGCUCAAAACUACCGUGCUCGAGGGAGAUAGAGGAAUGCGGAACUUACGGUGGAGCGGUGAAAUGCGUUGAUAUCGUAGGGAACACCGGUGGCGAAAGCGGCAUUCUGGAUCUCAUCUGACGCUGAUGCAAGAAAGCUAGGGUAGCAAACGGG
Molecule: ribosomal RNA, 253 nt
Filed under: uncultured bacterium
Lineage: Bacteria
Description: partial 16S ribosomal RNA
Rfam family: Bacterial small subunit ribosomal RNA
Source: RNAcentral